Molecule: ribosomal RNA, 454 nt
Filed under: uncultured Acidobacteriota bacterium
Lineage: Bacteria; Pseudomonadati; Acidobacteriota
Description: bacterial SSU rRNA
Rfam family: Bacterial small subunit ribosomal RNA
Source: RNAcentral
CGCCUAACACAUGCNAGUCGAACGAGAAAGCAGGAGCAAUCCUGUGAGUAAAGUGGCGUACGGGUGAGUAACACGUGGAUUAUCCACCUCUUUGUGGGGGAUAACCCUGGGAAACCGGGGCUAAUACCGCAUAAGCUCGAGAGAGGAAAGCAGCAAUGCGCAGAGAGAGGAGUCCGCGGCCGAUUAGCUAGUUGGUAGGGUAAAAGCCUACCAAGGCUACGAUCGGUAGCCGGCCUGAGAGGGCACACNGCCACACUGGCACUGAAACACGGGCCAGACUCCUACGGGAGGCAGCAGUGGGGAAUCUUGCACAAUGGGGGCAACCCUGAUGCAGCGACGCCGCGUGAGCGAUGAAGCCCUUCGGGGUGUAAAGCUCUUUCGGCAGGGACGAUGAUGACGGUACCUGCAGAAGCAGCUGCGGCUAACUACGUGCCAGCAGCCGCGGUAAUACGUA